UGAUGUGAGGGUGAUCUGGCUGAGACAUCUGUCACCCCAUUGAGCUUCAGGGUUGAUUCAGCUGAUCUGGCUGUCUAGGCGGGUGUCCCCUUCCUCCCUCACUGCUCCAUGUGCGUCCCUCCUGAAGCUGCACGCUCGGUCGAAGAGGACAGCCUUCCCCGAAUAGAGAAAGACUGGUCUUGGGUCGAGGGUAUAUGAGUAGCUGCGCUCCCCUGCUAGAACCUCCAAACAAGUCACAUUGAGAUUCCACCUCACACCUGUGAGAAUGAACUCCAUCAAUAAAACAAGAGAAGGUAAGUGCUGGAGAGGAUGUGGAGAGAGAGGAACUCUCUACACUAC
Non-coding RNA from Erinaceus europaeus (western European hedgehog), 339 nucleotides. NCBI's taxonomy places the organism in Eukaryota, Metazoa, Chordata, Mammalia, Eulipotyphla, Erinaceidae. The record is from Rfam.